UACCUCAUUCUAGAUGAGACUGGGCACUGUAAUAUCCAAAAAUUGUUAAUGUGGCUCAAUCGUGGCACAAGUUAUGCUUCCAUCACAGUGUAUUUGUUGCAAUAGUGACAAUGAGACCUGUGACAUUU
Small nucleolar RNA from Otolemur garnettii (small-eared galago), 128 nucleotides. The record is from Ensembl. NCBI's taxonomy places the organism in Eukaryota, Metazoa, Chordata, Mammalia, Primates, Galagidae.